CCUACGGGAGGCAGCAGUGAGGAAUAUUGGUCAAUGGCCGGGAGGCUGAACCAGCCAAGUCGCGUGAGGGAAGACGGCCCUACGGGUUGUAAACCUCUUUUGUCAGGGAGCAAGGUGCAGGUCGGGACCUGCUGUGAGAGUACCUGCGUAAGAAGCACCGGCUAAAUACGUGCCAGCAGCCGCGGUAAUACGUAUGGUGCAAGCGUUAUCCGGAUUUACUGGGUGUAAAGGGAGCGUAGACGGCUGUGCAAGUCUGAAGUGAAAGCCCGUGGCUCAACCGCGGAACUGCUUUGGAAACUGUAUAGCUUGAGUACUGGAGAGGCAGGCGGAAUUCCUAGUGUAGCGGUGAAAUGCGUAGAUAUUAGGAGGAACACCAGUGGCGAAGGCGGCCUGCUGGACAGAAACUGACGUUGAGGCUCGAAAGCGUGGGGAGCAAACAGGAUUAGAUACCCGGGUAGUC
This 460-nucleotide ribosomal RNA is filed under the name uncultured bacterium. Its description in RNAcentral is "partial 16S ribosomal RNA". It matches the Rfam family "Bacterial small subunit ribosomal RNA", at positions 338 to 795 of the family's 1533-position model. The record is from RNAcentral.